Molecule: ribosomal RNA, 253 nt
Filed under: uncultured bacterium
Lineage: Bacteria
Description: partial 16S ribosomal RNA
Rfam family: Bacterial small subunit ribosomal RNA
Source: RNAcentral
UACGGAGGGUGCAAGCGUUAUCCGGAUUCACUGGGUUUAAAGGGUGCGUAGGCGGGCAGGUAAGUCAGGGGUGAAAUCUUCGAGCUUAACUCGGAAACUGCCUUUGAUACUAUCUGUCUUGAAUACCUUGGAGGUGAGCGGAAUAUGUCAUGUAGCGGUGAAAUGCUUAGAUAUGACAUAGAACACCAAUUGCGAAGGCAGCUCACUACACGGUCAUUGACACUGAGGCACGAAAGCGUGGGGAUCAAACAGG